GAUGAACGCUGGCGGCGUGCCUAACACAUGCAAGUCGAGCGAUUUACUUCGGUAAAGAGCGGCGGACGGGUGAGUAACGCGUGGGUAACCUGCCCUGUACACACGGAUAACAUACCGAAAGGUAUGCUAAUACGAGAUAAUAUACUUUUAUCGCAUGGUAGAAGUAUCAAAGCUCCGGCGGUACAGGAUGGACCCGCGUCUGAUUAGCUAGUUGGUAAGGUAACGGCUUACCAAGGCGACGAUCAGUAGCCGACCUGAGAGGGUGAUCGGCCACAUUGGAACUGAGACACGGUCCAAACUCCUACGGGAGGCAGCAGUGGGGAAUAUUGCACAAUGGGCGAAAGCCUGAUGCAGCAACGCCGCGUGAGCGAUGAAGGCCUUCGGGUCGUAAAGCUCUGUCCUCAAGGAAGAUAAUGACGGUACUUGAGGAGGAAGCC
RNAcentral lists this ribosomal RNA (437 nucleotides) under uncultured bacterium. RNAcentral's name for it is "bacterial SSU rRNA". It matches the Rfam family "Bacterial small subunit ribosomal RNA", at positions 28 to 492 of the family's 1533-position model. The record is from RNAcentral.